This 371-nucleotide ribosomal RNA is filed under the name uncultured bacterium. Its description in RNAcentral is "bacterial SSU rRNA". It matches the Rfam family "Bacterial small subunit ribosomal RNA", at positions 29 to 416 of the family's 1533-position model. The record is from RNAcentral.
AACGAACGCUGGCGGCAUGCCUAACACAUGCAAGUCGAACGGGAUCCGAGCUUCGGUUCGGUGAGAGUGGCGGACGGGUGAGUAACGCGUGGGAACCUGCCCAGUGGUGGGGGAUAACUGCGGGAAACUGCAGCUAAUACCGCAUGAGCCCGAGAGGGGAAAGAUUUAUCGCCAUUGGAGGGGCCCGCGUUCGAUUAGGUAGUUGGUGAGGUAACGGCUCACCAAGCCUUCGAUCGAUAGCUGGUCUGAGAGGAUGAUCAGCCACACUGGGACUGAGAUACGGCCCAGACUCCUACGGGAGGCAGCAGUGGGGAAUAUUGGACAAUGGGGGGCAACCCUGAUCCAGCAAUGCCGCGUGAGUGAUGAAGGCC